AUAAUGGGUCAGCGACUUAUAUUCUGUAGCAAGGUUAACCGAAUAGGGGAGCCGAAGGGAAACCGAGUCUUAACUGGGCGUUAAGUUGCAGGGUAUAGACCCGAAACCCGGUGAUCUAGCCAUGGGCAGGUUGAAGGUUGGGUAACACUAACUGGAGGACCGAACCGACUAAUGUUGAAAAAUUAGCGGAUGACUUGUGGCUGGGGGUGAAAGGCCAAUCAAACCGGGAGAUAGCUGGUUCUCCCCGAAAGCUAUUUAGGUAGCGCCUCGUGAAUUCAUCUCCGGGGGUAGAGCACUGUUUCGGCAAGGGGGUCAUCCCGACUUACCAACCCGAUGCAAACUGCGAAUACCGGAGAAUGUUAUCACGGGAGACACACGGCGGGUGCUAACGUCCGUCGUGAAGAGGGAAACAACCCAGACCGCCAGCUAAGGUCCCAAAGUCAUGGUUAAGUGGGAAACGAUGUGGGAAGGCCCAGACAGCCAGGAUGUUGGCUUAGAAGCAGCCAUCAUUUAAAGAAAGCGUAAUAGCUCACUGGUCGAGUCGGCCUGCGCGGAAGAUGUAACGGGGCUAAACCAUGCACCGAAGCUGCGGCAGCGACGCUUAUGCGUUGUUGGGUAGGGGAGCGUUCUGUAAGCCUGUGAAGGUGUACUGUGAGGUAUGCUGGAGGUAUCAGAAGUGCGAAUGCUGACAUAAGUAACGAUAAAGCGGGUGAAAAGCCCGCUCGCCGGAAGACCAAGGGUUCCUGUCCAACGUUAAUCGGGGCAGGGUGAGUCGACCCCUAAGGCGAGGCCGAAAGGCGUAGUCGAUGGGAAACAGGUUAAUAUUCCUGUACUUGGUGUUACUGCGAAGGGGGGACGGAGAAGGCUAUGUUGGCCGGGCGACGGUUGUCCCGGUUUAAGCGUGUAGGCUGGUUUUCCAGGCAAAUCCGGAAAAUCAAGGCUGAGGCGUGAUGACGAGGCACUACGGUGCUGAAGCAACAAAUGCCCUGCUUCCAGGAAAAGCCUCUAAGCAUCAGGUAACAUCAAAUCGUACCCCAAACCGACACAGGUGGUCAGGUAGAGAAUACCAAGGCGCUUGAGAGAACUCGGGUGAAGGAACUAGGCAAAAUGGUGCCGUAACUUCGGGAGAAGGCACGCUGAUAUGUAGGUGAAGUCCCUCGCGGAUGGAGCUGAAAUCAGUCGAAGAUACCAGCUGGCUGCAACUGUUUAUUAAAAACACAGCACUGUGCAAACACGAAAGUGGACGUAUACGGUGUGACGCCUGCCCGGUGCCGGAAGGUUAAUUGAUGGGGUCAGCGCAAGCGAAGCUCUUGAUCGAAGCCCCGGUAAACGGCGGCCGUAACUAUAACGGUCCUAAGGUAGCGAAAUUCCUUGUCGGGUAAGUUCCGACCUGCACGAAUGGCGUAAUGAUGGCCAGGCUGUCUCCACCCGAGACUCAGUGAAAUUGAACUCGCUGUGAAGAUGCAGUGUACCCGCGGCAAGACGGAAAGACCCCGUGAACCUUUACUAUAGCUUGACACUGAACAUUGAGCCUUGAUGUGUAGGAUAGGUGGGAGGCUUUGAAGUGUGGACGCCAGUCUGCAUGGAGCCGACCUUGAAAUACCACCCUUUAAUGUUU
RNAcentral lists this ribosomal RNA (1618 nucleotides) under Escherichia coli. RNAcentral's name for it is "partial 23S ribosomal RNA". It matches the Rfam family "Bacterial large subunit ribosomal RNA", at positions 612 to 2215 of the family's 2925-position model. The record is from RNAcentral. Lineage: Bacteria; Pseudomonadati; Pseudomonadota; Gammaproteobacteria; Enterobacterales; Enterobacteriaceae.